Molecule: transfer RNA, 74 nt
Filed under: Acidobacteriota bacterium
Lineage: Bacteria; Pseudomonadati; Acidobacteriota
Description: Acidobacteria bacterium (wastewater metagenome) tRNA-Ser
Rfam family: tRNA
About the family: Transfer RNA (tRNA) molecules are approximately 80 nucleotides in length.
Source: RNAcentral
GUGCCAGUACUGAUUAUUCCUUGGCCGGACUACGAAUCCGAAGGUCGCAGGUUCGAGCCCUGCCGGGCGCGCCA